Molecule: ribosomal RNA, 400 nt
Filed under: phytoplankton environmental sample
Lineage: Eukaryota
Description: partial small subunit ribosomal RNA
Rfam family: Eukaryotic small subunit ribosomal RNA
Source: RNAcentral
AGCUCCAAUAGCGUAUAUUAAAGUUGUUGCAGUUAAAAAGCUCGUAGUUGGAUCUCAGGCGCAGGCGGACGGUCCGGCUCGCGCCGGUUCACUGUCCGUAUUUCCUGCCCUACCGUCUGUCGGCUCUCUCCCGUGGGUGCUCUUCGCUGAGCGUCCCGGGUGGCCGGCGCGUUUACUUUGAAAAAAUUAGAGUGUUCAAAGCAGGCCUCGGCUGCCUGAAUAAUGGUGCAUGGAAUAAUGGAAUAGGACCUCGGUUCUAUUUUGUUGGUUUUCGGAACUGGAGGUAAUGAUUAACAGGGACAAACGGGGGCAUUCGUAUUGCGGCGUUAGAGGUGAAAUUCUUGGAUCGCCGCAAGACGAGCUACUGCGAAAGCAUUUGUCAAGAAUGUUUUCAUUAAUC